UUGUACCGCCCAUUGGGGCAUUAAUGAGAUCCCACAGAGGGGUCAAUGCUUAUGAUUAUGACUAUGUUCAGUGCAUGCACAGGUUGAGUUUGGUGUAUGAUAGAAUGUAUGAAGGAAAAGUUUUAAUUUUUAUGUAUGUUGUUAAUCAUGUAUGGGAUUAAACAGGUUUUCAGGUUGUAUGUUAGGCUUGCUAUGGGUCCC
This 201-nucleotide long non-coding RNA is filed under the name Manihot esculenta (cassava). Its description in RNAcentral is "long non-coding RNA (MESC_LNC007754)". The record is from RNAcentral. Lineage: Eukaryota; Viridiplantae; Streptophyta; Magnoliopsida; Malpighiales; Euphorbiaceae.